CCUACGGGAGGCAGCAGUGAGGAAUAUUGGUCAAUGGACGAGAGUCUGAACCAGCCAAGUAGCGUGAAGGAUGACUGCCCUAUGGGUUGUAAACUUCUUUUAUAUGGGACUAAAAUGUUCCACGUGUGGGAUUUUGUAUGUACCAUAUGAAUAAGGAUCGGCUAACUCCGUGCCAGCAGCCGCGGUAAUACGGAGGAUCCGAGCGUUAUCCGGAUUUAUUGGGUUUAAAGGGAGCGUAGGUGGAUUGUUAAGUCAGUUGUGAAAGUUUGCGGCUCAACCGUAAAAUUGCAGUUGAAACUGGCAGUCUUGAGUACAGUAGAGGUGGGCGGAAUGCGUGGUGUAGCGGUGAAAUGCUUAGAUAGCACGAAGAACUCCGAGUGCGAAGGCAGUUCACUGGACUGCAACUGACACUGAGGCUCGAAAGUGUGGGUAUCAAACAGGAGUAGAUACCCUUGUAGUC
This 460-nucleotide ribosomal RNA is filed under the name uncultured bacterium. Its description in RNAcentral is "partial 16S ribosomal RNA". It matches the Rfam family "Bacterial small subunit ribosomal RNA", at positions 338 to 795 of the family's 1533-position model. The record is from RNAcentral.